CAGACGAUGCGUCAUGCAUAUCAAUAAGUGGAGGAAAAGGAUUUCCGAAUGUGGGAGGGCUACCUACGCUUAGGAUGUUGACACACGCGCGUGCUCGGCUCUAUGACAUGACUCUGUGCAUAUCAAUAAGCGGAGGAAAAGAAACUAACAAGGAUUCCCUUAGUAACGGCGAGUGAAGCGGGAAGAGCUCAAAUUUGAAAUCUUCAAGGUUUUACCUUGACGAAUUGUAGUUUAAAGAAGUGUUUUCUGCUGAAGUUUUGGUAAAAGUUCUUUGGAAUAGGACAUCAUAGAGGGUGAGAAUCCCGUAUUUGACCAUUAUUUUCAGCUUUGUGAUACACUUUCAAAGAGUCGGAUUGUUUGGGAAUGCAGUCCAAAAUGGGUGGUAAAUUUCAUCUAAAGCUAAAUAUUGGCGAGAGACCGAUAGCGAACAAGUACCGUGAGGGAAAGAUGAAAAGAACUUUGAAAAGAGAGUUAAACAGUACGUGAAAUUGUCAAAAGGGAAGCGUUUGACACCAGUGUUGUUUUCUCGAAAAUCAAUUAAAAAUGGCUCGAUUUUGUCUUGCUUGAGACCUUAAAAGCUCACUGUACAUUUUUCGUGUCUUUUUUAAUGCACUUUUCGUUUAACAAGUCAACAUCAGUUUCUUUUGUUGUAAAAGGGUCAUUGGAAGGUGGCUUUCUUUUCGGAGAAAGUGUUUAUAGCCUUUGGCCUCUGCAAUCGGAGAGACUGAGGUCUGCAGCGUAGACUCUUCGGGGUUAGAUACAUUUGUGCUAAGUUAUAGCUUUUUAUAGACAACUUGUUGACUAUAAUUAGUCUUGUAGCUUACUCGCUUAUGCUAUUUUACCUACGCUUAGGAUGUUGAAGAUGUAGCACAUCAU
RNAcentral lists this ribosomal RNA (876 nucleotides) under uncultured Neocallimastigales. RNAcentral's name for it is "partial large subunit ribosomal RNA". The stretch from base 90 to 876 matches the Rfam family "Eukaryotic large subunit ribosomal RNA", at positions 1 to 620 of the family's 3401-position model. The record is from RNAcentral. Lineage: Eukaryota; Fungi; Neocallimastigomycota; Neocallimastigomycetes; Neocallimastigales.